AUAAGAUAUCAAGGGCAACAGGUGAAUGCCUUGGCGCUGAGAGGCGAUGAAAGACGCGGUAAGCUGCGAUAAGCAUCGGGGAGGAGCUAAACAUCCUACGAUCCGAUGAUUUCUGAAUGGGGAAACCCGAUGGGAGUCAUGUCCCAUCAUCCUGAGCUGAAUAUAUAGGCCCAGAGAAGCCAACCCGGGGAAGUGAAACAUCUCAGUACCCGGAGGAAGAGAAAUCAAACGAGACUCCCAAAGUAGCGGCGAGCGAAAUGGGAAGAGCCCAAACCGGGUGGUUUCGACCAUUCGGGGUUGUAGGGCCGGCAUACGCGAUUCUGGAGUAGGCAGAGGAAGUGAGCUGGAAAGCUCCGCCACAGCGGGUGAUAGCCCCGUACUCGAAACCGAAAAGGACGCAGCCGGUACCUGAGUACUGCGAGGCACGUGGAACCUCGUGGGAAUCUAGGGGGACCAUCCUCUAAGGCUAAGUACUCCUCAGCGACCGAUAGUGAACUAGUACCGUGAGGGAAAGGUGAAAAGAACCCCUGUUAGGGGAGUGAAAUAGAAUCUGAAACCUGUUGCCUACAAGCUGCGAGAGCUGCUUUUUGCAGUGAUCGCGUGCCUUUUGUAUAAUGAGUCAGCGAGUUACUCUACCGUGCGAGGUUAAGCGAAAGCGUAGCCGUAGUGAAAGCGAGGCUUAAUAGGCCGACUAGUACGUUGGAGUAGACCCGAAACCGGGUGAUCUAUCCAUGAGCAGGUUGAAGCAAGGGUAAAGCCUUGUGGAGGACCGAACCGUCAACGGCUGAAAACGUUCCGGAUGACUUGUGGAUAGGGGUGAAAGGUCAAUCAAACCCGGUGAUAGCUGGUUCUCCCCGAAAUAUAUUGAGGUAUAGCCUCGGGAAUUGAUUAGCGGAGGUAAAGCACUGACAGAGCUAGGGGUCCUACCAGAUUACCAAACUCUAUCAAACUCAGAAUGCCGCUUAAUCGUAUCCCGGGAGUCAGACGGCGGGUGCGAAGGUUCGUCGUCAAAAGGGAAACAGCCCAGACCAACAGCUAAGGUCUCCAAAUCCAUGCUCAGUGGUGAAGGUAGUGGAACCGUUUAGACAGCCAGGACGUUGGCUUAGAAGCAGCCAUCGUUUAAAGAAAGCGUAAUAGCUCACUGGUCUAAUGGCUCUGCGCCGAAAAUGUAACGGGGCUAAGCAUGGUACCGAAGCUUUGGCAAUCCCCUUUGGGGAUUGGGUAGGGGAGCGUUCGCUGCGGGCUGAAGGUGUGCCGGAAGGCAUGCUGGACUGCAGUGAAGUGAUUAUGCUGACAUGAGUAACGAUAAAAUAUGUGAAAAACAUAUUCGCCGAAAACCCGAGGUUUCCUGGGUAAAGGUAAUCUUCCCAGGGUUAGUCGGAUCCUAAGGUGAGGGUGAAAGCCGUAACCGAUGGAAAACAGGUUAAUAUUCCUGUACUUGUUGUGUAGCGCGAUGGAGGGACGCAGGAAGAUAGGCGGGCCGGGUGUUGGAUAUCCCGGUGCAAGCGUGUAGGAAUAUCCGGUAGGCAAAUCCGCCGGACGAAUCUGAGACGCGAGUCCGUGGGCGCAAGCCCUGAAGCCGUUGAGUCUAUGCUGCCUAGAAAAGCUCCUAAGUUUAUCCACAGCAAUCCGUACCGCAAACCAACUCAGGUGGGUGGGAUGAACAAUCCAAGGCGCUCGAGAGAACUCUGGCCAAGGAACUCGGCAAAAUAACCCCGUAACUUCGGAAGAAGGGGUGCUCUCUAGGGUGACAUGUUUAACAUAUGAAGCCCCGGGGAGCCGCAGUGAAUUGGUGGUGGCGACUGUUUACUAAAAACAUAGGUCUGUGCGAAGUCCUAAAGACGACGUAUACGGACUGACGCCUGCCCGGUGCUGGAAGGUUAAAAGGAGGGGUCAGCGCAAGCAAAGCUCCGAAUUGAAGCCCCAGUAAACGGCGGCCGUAACUAUAACGGUCCUAAGGUAGCGAAAUUCCUUGUCGGGUA
RNAcentral lists this ribosomal RNA (1982 nucleotides) under human gut metagenome. Its description in RNAcentral is "bacterial LSU rRNA". It matches the Rfam family "Bacterial large subunit ribosomal RNA", at positions 1 to 1978 of the family's 2925-position model. The record is from RNAcentral.